Molecule: long non-coding RNA, 1114 nt
Organism: Orcinus orca (killer whale)
Lineage: Eukaryota; Metazoa; Chordata; Mammalia; Artiodactyla; Delphinidae
Exons: 2
Source: RefSeq, a predicted model, not a curated record
GAGGCGGAGGCGGAGGCGGAGGCGGAGGCGGAGGCGGAGGCGGAGGCGGAGGCGGAGGCGGAGGCGGAGGCGGAGGCGGAGGCGGAGGCGGAACGAGCCCUACGGGCUACCUUCCUGCGUGGUCUCUUGUCUCUUCUAACUCCGGAGAAAACACGGAAGAAAAUUUUUGUGACCUUGGGUUUGUGACCAGAUUUUUUAGAUACAUCUCUGAAGGACAUGAUCCAUGAAUGAAAAGAAAUUGGCAAAUCGGACUUCAUCAAAAUUAAGAACUUCUGCUCUCUGAAAGACACUUAAGAGAAUGAAAAGACAAGCCACAGACUAGGAGAAAACAUUGGCAAAUUACACAUCUGGUAUGGACUUGUAUCCAGAAUAUAUAAAGCACUUUCAAAACUCAAUAAGAAGGGAAUUCCCUGGUGGCCUAGUGGUUAGGAUUCCAGUCUUUCACUACAGUGGCCCUGGGUUCAAUCCCUGGUCCCCUGGUUGGGGAACUGAGAUCCUGCAAGCCGCACAGCCCAGCCAAAAAAAAAACAACCCACAGGUGAAUGGAUAAACAAAUUGUUAUAUAUUCACAUAAUGGAAUACUGCUGUGCAAUAAAAAAGGAUGAACUAUUGAUACAUGUAACAAUGUGGAUGAAUCAAAAUAAUUUGUUGUGUGAAAGAAGCCAGACAUACUGUAUGAUUCCACUUAUAUAAAUCUCUAGAAGAUACAAACUAAUCUUAAGUGGCAACACUAUAGAUUGUCAUUGCCUGGAUGAGGGGGACUAAUAUUCAUUUUAAAAUAAUAUCUCAGAUCUAAUUGGUUUUUAAAUGAGUCAAAAAAUUUUAGCUCUAUUUUGUUAAAAUAAGUGUUCUGUGGACUUUUGUUUUCCUUUUUAAAGGAGACAAAUCUCCCUUAACUUAGACAAGUGGUAUAAGAAAUAUUGUCUAUUCUUCUAUAUAUGGCAUGUUCCAUAUGUUCCGAAUGUUUCAGAUAAAAAAGUUUGGAGCCGAUUGAAGAAAUCUGGAGCCAGUUGAAAUUUGAGCUGGCCAAUUUUAACUUGAUCCUAUGCCCAAAAUAAAAUACAGGUCAACUGGUGUGUUAAAGGCAAUAAAAUAAGAGUUGUCGUUUAUACUG